AUUGAACGCUGGCGGCACGCCUAACACAUGCAAGUCGAGCGGUAGCAUGAGUAGUAGCAAUACUACUUGAUGACGAGCGGCGGACGGGUGAGGAACACGUAGGAACUUGCCUUUUAGAGGGGGAUAACUAAGGGAAACUUUAGCUAAUACCGCGUAAUCUCGAGAGAGUAAAGCUGCCCGCAAGGGUGGCGCUAAAAGAGAGGCCUGCGUCCGAUUAGCUAGUUGGUGAGGUAAUGGCUCACCAAGGCGAUGAUCGGUAACUGGUCUGAGAGGACGACCAGUCACACUGGGACUGAGACACGGCCCAGACUCCUACGGGAGGCAGCAGUGGGGAAUAUUGGACAAUGGGGGCAACCCUGAUCCAGCGAUGCCGCGUGAGUGAAGAAGGCCCUCGGGUCGUAAAGCUCUUUAGGUUGGGAAGAAGGACGUUAGGUUAAUACCCUGAUGUUUUGACGGUACCGACAGAAUAAGCACCGGCAAACUCUGUGCCAGCCGCCGCAGUAA
Molecule: ribosomal RNA, 504 nt
Filed under: uncultured bacterium
Lineage: Bacteria
Description: partial 16S ribosomal RNA
Rfam family: Bacterial small subunit ribosomal RNA
Source: RNAcentral